GAGUCUCGGCCCCUCCCCUUCGGUAUGUGUCUUUCUCAUCCUGGAAGAAAGACCGCGGCGAAUUGACGACUUUGGACACUUUUCAAGAAGCUGCUGGAGACUUUACAUCCUCUCGUACGGACAAAGGCAGCCCAAACAUGUUGAUCAAAGAAUACCGAAUCGUCCUGCCUGUCUCAGUGGAUGAGUAUAAAGUGGGCCAGCUGUAUACGGUGGCAGAAGCCAGCAAGAAUGAGACAGGUGGAGGCGAAGGUGUUGAAGUGUUGAUCAAUGAGCCCUAUGAAGAAAAUGGGGAGAAGGGACAAUACACCCACAAGAUCUACUAUCUCAAUAGUAAAGUGCCCCGCAUUGUGCGUGCGCUUGCUCCAAAGGGAGCUCUUCAGAUUCACGAGAAAGCCUGGAAUGCCUAUCCUUACUGCAAAACCAUUCUUUCUAAUCCAUACAUGAAAGAAAAUUUCAAAAUUAAGGUUGAGACAUGGCACAAGCCGGACAUGGGAGAACAGGAGAAUGUACAUGGACUCGAGAAAAAUCAAUGGGAUACAGCUGACGUUGUACAAAUCGACAUUGCUGACAGAACCGCUAUGAGUGACAAGGAUUACAAAGCAGAUCAGGAUCCAGCCAUAUUUAAGUCUGAAAAAACAGGAAGAGGGCCCCUGGGACCUGAAUGGAAGAAAGAAAUUCUCAACAACCCCAGCUGUCCACAUAUGUGUGCUUAUAAGCUUGUCUCAGUAAACUUCAAGUGGAUGGGCUUGCAGUCAAAGGUGGAGGCCGUAAUUCAAAAGGUUUGGAAGUCAUAUUACCAUCUAGUGGGCUGAUAGAGUACAUGAACUGCAACGCAGAUGGAGAGGCGUAUUUUCACCCACUUCCACAGACAGCUAUUCUGCUUGAUUGAUAAAUGGAUCCAUCUUUCCAUGGAUGACAUCCGGAAAAUGGAGGAAGACACAAAAAAAGAGCUGGAUGAGAUGAGGCAAAAUGAUGAAGUUAAAGGCCUGGGCGUUGAUGAAUGAAGGGGUUGGGAGUCUUCAUGCUGACUCAACCUUGACACACUGGACCAAUACCUCCCCCUUCCUGAUCCAAGAAUGCUACAAUUCCUUGAUAGAUGCUUAAAUACAUGCUAAAGCAAUUGGGUUUAUUUAUGUACCUGAAUACAGACACACUUGUGUCACUUGACAAGUUUCCAACUGCUUAAAUCUUGUAAAUUUACUAGCACAAGGCUAUAUAUUUUGGUUUUCCCAUGGCAAUAAUUUAUCAUGUCUUUUUUUUAUUGUAGGUUUGUCAAUAACAGCUCAAGUUGCCAGACUUUUGAUUUACUUUAUCUUUUAAUACAACGAAACACACGUUGCUCUUGAGACUUUUGUUACGGCAGUUACUAUUGUUUGGGGCUUACAGAUGAUCCUUUUCGUAUCUCUGUAAGGUUUCCAUGUCAUCAUUUGCUUAACCACAAGAGAACACUUAAACCCCCAGGUGCCGUAUUUCCAUUAUAAAAGGCUCAGUCAAUGGAGGAGGAAAAUGCAGACUUAAUGGGUAGUUGAGUUAACUGCUGUUUGGGUGUAAAAAAACCUUUAUUUUCAGGUUUUUUGGGGGGGAUUUCAUUACACGCAGCGAGGUUGUGGACAUUUUGGCCAUGUACAGACACUGUAAUUUUAUGGUUUUUUUUUUUUUUUUUUCUUCAAAUAAAGUUACAGCUGCUUUUACUACA
Molecule: RNA transcript, 1696 nt
Organism: Syngnathus acus (greater pipefish)
Lineage: Eukaryota; Metazoa; Chordata; Actinopteri; Syngnathiformes; Syngnathidae
Gene name: phosphatidylinositol transfer protein alpha isoform-like
Exons: 12
Source: RefSeq, a predicted model, not a curated record